This 21-nucleotide non-coding RNA is filed under the name Arabidopsis thaliana (thale cress). The record is from RNAcentral. Lineage: Eukaryota; Viridiplantae; Streptophyta; Magnoliopsida; Brassicales; Brassicaceae.
CAAUUCAGGCUCUGGAGACUC